RNAcentral lists this ribosomal RNA (253 nucleotides) under uncultured bacterium. RNAcentral's name for it is "partial 16S ribosomal RNA". It matches the Rfam family "Bacterial small subunit ribosomal RNA", at positions 524 to 776 of the family's 1533-position model. The record is from RNAcentral.
UACGUAGGGGGCAAGCGUUAUCCGGAUUUACUGGGUGUAAAGGGGGCGCAGACGGCGAUGCAAGCCAGGAGUGAAAGCCCGGGGCCCAACCCCGGGACUGCUCUUGGAACUGCGUGGCUGGAGUGCAGGAGGGGCAGGCGGAAUUCCUGGUGUAGCGGUGAAAUGCGUAGAUAUUAGGAGGAACACCAGUGGCGAAGGCGGCCUGCUGGGCUUUUACUGACGCUGAGGCUCGAAAGUGUGGGGAGCAAACAGG